AUGUAGCGCAUGUCUUGCGGGUAAGAAGCUGCGUUCAGGUUCGAGCCGAGCGAAGCGAGACAGCAACGCGUCAGCGUUGACCCGAAGGGUGAGGCCGAAGGCCGAGUCAUCCCGCACGACCAACCA
RNAcentral lists this small RNA (126 nucleotides) under Brenneria bubanii. RNAcentral describes it as "RtT sRNA". It matches the Rfam family "RtT RNA". Rfam says of the family: This family represents a bacterial cis-regulatory element known as RtT RNA. The exact function of RtT is unknown although it is thought that it may be involved in changing the cellular response in relation to amino acid starvation. Lineage: Bacteria; Pseudomonadati; Pseudomonadota; Gammaproteobacteria; Enterobacterales; Pectobacteriaceae. The record is from RNAcentral.